This 1402-nucleotide ribosomal RNA is filed under the name uncultured bacterium. RNAcentral's name for it is "bacterial SSU rRNA". It matches the Rfam family "Bacterial small subunit ribosomal RNA", at positions 26 to 1398 of the family's 1533-position model. The record is from RNAcentral.
AGGAAGAAACGCUAGCUACAGGCUUAACACACGCAAGUUCGAGGGGCAGCCAUAAUCAUCGCCUGCAAUAAAUCGAACGAACGACCGGCGCACGGGCGAGUCUUCGCGUCUCCAACCUUUCCCAUAACUAGGGGAUAAUCCGUCGAAAGGCGGUCUAAUACUUCUAUCGUUCGUUCUAUUUCAUGGCCUCAUAUCUAGAACGAAAAGAAUUAUCGGUUAUGGUUAGGGAAGCCGUCCGAAUCAGGUAGUAGGCGGGGUAACAGCCCACCUAGCCAACGAUUCGGUAGGGGUUUCUGCGAGGAAGGUCCCCCACAUUUGGAACUGAGACACGGUCCAAACUCCUACGGGAGGCAGCAGUGAGGAAUAUUUGGUCAAUGGACGAAAGUCUGAACCAGCCAAGUAGCGUGCAGGAAGACGGCCCUAUGGGUUGUAAACUGCUUUUAUGCGGGAAUAAAGUGAUUUACGUUGUAUAUCAUUUGCAUGUACCGCAUGAAUAAGGACCGGCUAAUUUCCUGCCAGCAGCCGCGGUAAUACGGAAGGUUCCGGGCGUUAUCCGGAUUUAUUGGGUUUAAAGGGAGCGUAGGCUGAAUAUUAAGCGUGUUGUGAAAUGUAGUUGCUCAACAUCUGCACUGCAGCGCGAACUGGUAUUCUUGAGUGUGCGCGACGUAGGCGGAAUUCGUGGUGUAGCGGUGAAAUGCUUAGAUAUCACGAAGAACUCCGAUUGCGAAGGCAGCUUACGAGAGCACAACUGACGCUUAAGCUCGAAGGUGCGGGUAUCGAACAGGAUUAGAUACCCUGGUAGUCCGCACAGUAAACGAUGGAUGCCCGCUAUUGGACUUUUAGUUCAGUGGCUAAGCGAAAGCGUUAAGCAUCCCACCUGGGGAGUACGCCGGCAACGGUGAAACUCAAAGGAAUUGACGGGGGCCCGCACAAGCGGAGGAACAUGUGGUUUAAUUCGAUGAUACGCGAGGAACCUUACCCGGGCUUGAACUGCCGGUGAACGAUACAGAGAUGUUGAGGCCCUUCGGGGCGCCGGUGGAGGUGCUGCAUGGUUGUCGUCAGCUCGUGCCGUGAGGUGUCGGCUUAAGUGCCAUAACGAGCGCAACCCCAUUCUCUAGUUGCCAUCGGGUAAUGCCGGGCACUCUGGAGAUACUGCCACCGUAAGGUGUGAGGAAGGUUGGGAUGACGUCAAAUCAGCACGGCCCUUACGUCCGGGGCUACACACGUGUUACAAUGGCGCAUACAGAGUGUCGGUUGUAUGUAAAUGCAAUCCAAUCUUGAAAGUGCGUCUCAGUUCGGACUGGGGUCUGCAACCCGACCCCACGAAGCUGGAUUCGCUAGUAAUCGCGCAUCAGCCAUGGCGCGGUGAAUACGUUCCCGGGCCUUGUACACACCGCCCGUC